Manis javanica (Malayan pangolin) is the source of this 665-nucleotide non-coding RNA. NCBI's taxonomy places the organism in Eukaryota, Metazoa, Chordata, Mammalia, Pholidota, Manidae. The record is from RefSeq and is a predicted model, not a curated record.
GAUCGACGUGCUUCCUGCUUUCCAGAGCAAAAACGUUCUCCUGGUUUCAAUAAAGUGCGAUCCAGAAUUUCUUCAUUAUCAGGGGAAAAACAGGAUUAAGGGGUUCAGAAGGGAAGUCACCCUAUACCUGGAGAAGUAGCAAUGCCACCAGUGCAAAAUGCUCAAGAGAGUGCGGGAAAGUGCACCUGACUGGUGCAGCUCCAGGUUCUAGAACUGUCCCACCUGCCCACCAGCUGUGCGUCUUGGCAGCCAGCCUCGCUCGCCUGAACUCUGAGGCUCAAUGUGAUACAGUCUGUUACAAAACUGGGGAUGGACUGUGCCCUUCCCAUCUCACCUGUGGGGAUUACUGGGGGCCCAGGAAAACCAGACACCUUCGGUGAGGUGCAAACCAGCGUCAUGUUGCUCUGCUGGUCCAGGGGGACAGGGCUGUUGUGGUACCACAGGGGCAGAGGUAGUCUUACAGACAAGUGGGAUGUAAGCUGCAUCUUUGAAGAAGGUAAAUACGGAAUUAAAGAGCAGUGCGGGCACGGAUCUCAAAGGCUUAAAAGCAAGAGCUGCAAAGAUACUUUUGCAGGACCAAAUAUCCUUCAAUGUCAUGUUUAUCAUUGCAAAUCCUGUGAGUGUGUGUGUGGGAUGGUAGAAAGGAGAGCUGGCACAAUUUUGCC